GUUAUAGCCCAGCAUCCAGCCUAGGGCCUGGCACAUGGCAGACCCUGCACCUGACGGAUCAGCUGGCACCACCCAGAUCAAUAAACUGCCUCAUCUGAUCUGGCGGCCCCCGCCCAGGAACUGACUGAGCGCAAGAAGACAGCUCCAACUCUAUAUGAUUUCAUCCCUGACCAAUCAGCAUUCCUGGCUCACUGGCUUCCCCCCACCCACCAAGUUAUCCUUAAAAACUCUGCUCCCUGAAUGCUUGGGGAGAUUGAUUUGAGUACUAAUAAAACUCCAGUCUCCCACACAGCUGGCUCUGCG
Molecule: long non-coding RNA, 303 nt
Filed under: Homo sapiens (human)
Lineage: Eukaryota; Metazoa; Chordata; Mammalia; Primates; Hominidae
Description: HSALNT0181821
Source: RNAcentral